RNAcentral lists this ribosomal RNA (512 nucleotides) under uncultured bacterium. RNAcentral's name for it is "bacterial SSU rRNA". It matches the Rfam family "Bacterial small subunit ribosomal RNA", at positions 8 to 521 of the family's 1533-position model. The record is from RNAcentral.
AGAGUUUGAUCCUGGCUCAGGAUGAACGCUGGCGGCGUGCUUAACACAUGCAAGUCGAACGGGAAACCUUUUAUUGAAGCUUCGGCAGAUUUAGCUGGUUUCUAGUGGCGGACGGGUGAGUAACGCGUGGGUAACCUGCCCUAUACAGGGGGAUAACAACCAGAAAUGGUUGCUAAUACCGCAUAAGCGCACAGGACCGCAUGGUCCGGUGUGAAAAACUCUGGUGGUAUAGGAUGGACCCGCGUUGGAUUAGCCAGUUGGCAGGGUAACGGCCUACCAAAGCGACGAUCCAUAGCCGGCCUGAGAGGGUGAACGGCCACAUUGGGACUGAGACACGGCCCAGACUCCUACGGGAGGCAGCAGUGGGGAAUAUUGCACAAUGGGGGAAACCCUGAUGCAGCGACGCCGCGUGAAGGAAGAAGUAUCUCGGUAUGUAAACUUCUAUCAGCAGGGAAGAUAGUGACGGUACCUGACUAAGAAGCCCCGGCUAACUACGUGCCAGCAGCCGCGGU